This 433-nucleotide ribosomal RNA is filed under the name uncultured bacterium. Its description in RNAcentral is "partial 16S ribosomal RNA". It matches the Rfam family "Bacterial small subunit ribosomal RNA", at positions 29 to 507 of the family's 1533-position model. The record is from RNAcentral.
AGCGAACGCUGGCGGCAGGCCUAACACAUGCAAGUCGAACGAACUCUUCGGAGUUAGUGGCGGACGGGUGAGUAACACGUGGGAACGUGCCUUUUGGUUCGGAAUAACUCAGGGAAACUUGUGCUAAUACCGAAUGUGCCCUUCGGGGGAAAGAUUUAUCGCCAUUAGAUCGGCCCGCGUCUGAUUAGCUAGUUGGUGAGGUAACGGCUCACCAAGGCCACGAUCAGUAGCUGGUCUGAGAGGAUGACCAGCCACACUGGGACUGAGACACGGCCCAGACUCCUACGGGAGGCAGCAGUGGGGAAUCUUGCGGAAUGGGCGAAAGCCUGACGAAGCCAUGCCGCGUGAAUGAUGAAGGUCUUAGGAUUGUAAAAUUCUUUCACCGGGGACGAUAAUGACGGUACCCGGAGAAGAAGCCCCGGCUAACUUCGUG